GCCGAAGUGGUGAAAUUGGUAGACACACCGUCUUGAGGGGGCGGCGGCGCAAGCUGUACCGGUUCGAAUCCGGUCUUCGGCA
This 82-nucleotide transfer RNA is filed under the name Acidithiobacillus marinus. RNAcentral describes it as "Acidithiobacillus sp. SH tRNA". It matches the Rfam family "tRNA". Rfam says of the family: Transfer RNA (tRNA) molecules are approximately 80 nucleotides in length. Their secondary structure includes four short double-helical elements and three loops (D, anti-codon, and T loops). Lineage: Bacteria; Pseudomonadati; Pseudomonadota; Acidithiobacillia; Acidithiobacillales; Acidithiobacillaceae. The record is from Rfam by way of RNAcentral.